UGCCCCGUAGCACAAUUGGCAGUGCAUCUCCUUGUUACGGAGACGGUUGCAGGUUCGAUUCCUGCCGGGGUAGCAA
This 76-nucleotide transfer RNA is filed under the name Rhodococcus sp. RS1C4. Its description in RNAcentral is "tRNA-Asn". It matches the Rfam family "tRNA". From Rfam's summary of the family: Transfer RNA (tRNA) molecules are approximately 80 nucleotides in length. Their secondary structure includes four short double-helical elements and three loops (D, anti-codon, and T loops). The record is from RNAcentral. Lineage: Bacteria; Bacillati; Actinomycetota; Actinomycetes; Mycobacteriales; Nocardiaceae.